GUGUAGAGAGAGAGAGAGAGAGAGAGAGAGCAAUAAACCGCAAUAAACCACAACAACAGUAGCGAUCUACGAUUGUUGCCUUGUUGAUGUGGAAACAAUCAUAAAUCGUAAUUAAAUAUAAAUCCAUUAAUCAGAUUAAAUUAAAUGAAUUUAAAAAUAAAAUGUGUACAUAGCCGCUCAGGUCUAGGGGAAGCGGGUAUGGUUAUGCUAAAAUUAACCAAGAAGUUGGUCUGCAUUUUGGAAUAUAGUGAAGACCAUGCUAGAGUGGCAUGCCAAACUUGCCCCAAAACUUCUUUUUAAUUAAUAGGUAUGAUCCAAUUGAUUUCGCCCUAAAACUUCCUUUUCCUACAGAUUUGCUCAAAACUUGACAUUUCCCGAAGUCAUCAAUUAAAGUCAAUACUCGUGUGAUUGAUGAAGAUAAUCGUUUCAUCAUGUAGUAGCAUGAAUAAAUUGCAUAUGUCAAUAGGUUUUUAGACCGAUGAUGAAUUUAUUAGAAGAAACUCUACAAUAUAAUAGAGGUACAAUGUCAGUCAUAUAACAAACAAAUGAUGUUAUGAUAUGUGAGUGAUGUUUACAUUAAAUUUCAUUACACAUGUUAUGCAUCCAUCAAUUGAUUGUAUUACCUUUGAUAUAGGAAGAAUUUAUUUAGUUGAUAUCAACUGAACCAUUUUCUUUUUUCUUUUCUUUCACAAGUAUGUGUACGUUAAGCAUUAAUAUAGUUAAUAGUUUUACGUCCUUUCUUACUAGGCUACUAUACAUUAUGGAGAGAUUGUUAGUUCCCCCUUCACCGAAAUCAAUAUAUACCGCUUGCUACUUAUUGGUUUUAUGAUAACCAAUAAUCUCCUGACAACAUAAUUUUACAGUAUUAUCUGCGUGUUUAAAUCCACAUUUAUUCAUAUUUAUUAUAAAUUAAAUAAAUCAUGUAAAUAGA
Molecule: long non-coding RNA, 931 nt
Filed under: Citrus x clementina
Lineage: Eukaryota; Viridiplantae; Streptophyta; Magnoliopsida; Sapindales; Rutaceae
Description: Citrus clementina (C. clementina) long non-coding RNA (CCLE_LNC003110)
Source: RNAcentral